Molecule: non-coding RNA, 1245 nt
Organism: Physcomitrium patens
Lineage: Eukaryota; Viridiplantae; Streptophyta; Bryopsida; Funariales; Funariaceae
Source: RefSeq, a predicted model, not a curated record
UAGCUAUCGGGGUCCGGCGACGUAUGCCCUGGACCUCAUUUUUCCUGUCUAUCUCUCAUUUUGUGUUAAGGGGGAUUCUGUUUUUCCUCAAGGCUGUUCUUCAUUAGUAGAGUGUUGCAGCCCAUUGCUGAGGGCGUGCGAUAAAAGUUGCCGUGCUAAUGAGGGCUUGUACCGUUGGACUUCAACGACGCGCGAGUGAUUGAUUCUGUGUUGCGACUGGGGUGCGGUGAAGGCGUCAGCAGUGAUUUUUUCCUCUGCCACGGCAGCGAAACGGUUGUGGGAGAGUACCCUGUGACGACAAUCCGGAUCUGUUCAAACCUUACUUCAAUUUUAUGGAGGUUACGCAAUUCAACUUCGUAUUCUGUGGUGUUGUUUUUUCCUUGCGCGCGGCGGUGCCAUUGUGUUGUUUUUUUCUCUGUUGCUAUUGUGCGGUGCAUUGUUGUGAUUCGAGGUGGUAGUUUAGGUCUUCGGCAGUAGUUUUUCCCCCAUUCGUUCUCCAUCGCCUUUGAAUCCUCGACCUCAAGCAGAUUUGGUGUUGGUGCUCGUUCGGUUUGGAGCAGUGCGACUAGACUAGGAGUCAGGUGGAAGUGCAGCGGUCAAGAGCUCUUGGUACUAUUAAUGGUAUUUUUUUCUAUGGUGCGAGGCCACUUGCGGUGGAAUACGGCCGAACAUCUUCACCACUAGCUGUUGCGGGCAUUGCUCCUGGGCUGCUGUACAUCAGCGUCGAGCAAAGAUUCAACAACGGCGGCUGGAGUUUGGUGGUUGGUGGCUCGGAUUGUUGACAAGUUCCAGAGGUUCAGAAAGUACUCGAUGGAAAGCAAUUCUUCGAUGGUAGAUGAUCAUGAACAAUAGAUCGUGAGGGACCUGAUGUAGGAAGUUGAUUUUUUUGAGACUGAGUUUGGAUAAAGUUUAAUUGAACGCGCUCGUUGAUAGCCUACUCAAUUUCGGUGUAUAAGCGCAACUCUACAGAAGAACAGAAUUUGACAAUUCAUCUUAGUGGAAGUGGAGCGCUAGAAGGGUGGAAUUGGGCUGCAAUAGACCUCUUUCUUGUCGACUUGUGCACUCCGGGAUGGAUAAAGGUAGAAAAUUUUAAUUUUUUUAUUAGACGACUUAGGUUAGAGUCGACAGAAGUUAGUUUCGGAUUGGAUGAGUUAGGUUUGGGAUUACAUUAGUAUAAUUUGGAUGAACAAUUGAAGUUGAAUGAAAAUUUUGAAUUAGAUGAAAUUAAUUAGAUGAAUUCUCUUA